This 87-nucleotide transfer RNA is filed under the name Bryobacteraceae bacterium. RNAcentral's name for it is "tRNA-Leu". It matches the Rfam family "tRNA". From Rfam's summary of the family: Transfer RNA (tRNA) molecules are approximately 80 nucleotides in length. Their secondary structure includes four short double-helical elements and three loops (D, anti-codon, and T loops). Further hydrogen bonds mediate the characteristic L-shaped molecular structure. tRNAs have two regions of fundamental functional importance: the anti-codon, which is responsible for specific mRNA codon recognition, and the 3' end, to which the tRNAs corresponding amino acid is attached (by aminoacyl-tRNA synthetases). tRNAs cope with the degeneracy of the genetic code in two manners: having more than one tRNA (with a specific anti-codon) for a particular amino acid; and 'wobble' base-pairing, i.e. permitting non-standard base-pairing at the 3rd anti-codon position. The record is from RNAcentral. Lineage: Bacteria; Pseudomonadati; Acidobacteriota; Terriglobia; Bryobacterales; Bryobacteraceae.
GCGGGCGUGGCGAAAUUGGCAGACGCGCAGGAUUUAGGUUCCUGUCUCAGCGAUGAGGUGUCGGUUCAAGUCCGACCGCCCGCACCA